AACAGUAGAAGCAGCCACCUUUGCUUUACCUGUGCUUGCCCUCAGGCCAAAGAGUGAGUACUCUGAGCUGGAUGAGGAUGAGUCACAGGCUCCCUAUGACCCCAACGGCAAGCCAGAGAGGUUUUACUACAAUGUGGAGUCAUGUGGCUCACUGCGCCCUGAGACCAUUGUCCUCUCAGCCCUGUCUGGGCUAAAGAAGAAGCUGAGUGAUUUACAGACCCAGUUAAGCCAUGAGAUCCAGAGUGACGUGCUCACCAUAAACUAGCCCGCCUGCUGCGGAGACUAGGUUCAAAGUUGACCGGAUUCCAGGCCCUGGGGCCCUUCUGGUUUCUGGGCUAAGGACUGCGCUUGCUCACGUUGCCUCCUGGAAGGACAUCGGAGAGAUGGCCAGGGGUUCCACUGGUGUUAGACAAGGCAGGUUUUAUAGGGGUUUAGCAUCCCUGGCCCUACAUAGUGGUUUUCAGGCAGCCUAGGGGGAAGCACACACUAGUACAGAAAAGGAGUAUUUAUUGAUCAACAGUAGCUGUCUUUUUAAAAGUUUUUAUUUUUGGCAAUAAAGAGCACAACAUAAUCUCCUUCAUGCGUCAUCGUGCUACUAACUGAGCCCGUUCUGCCUCCCUCCCAAGGGCUUAGGCCCAUUUCCUGUACAAACUAACUGACCUCUGGUGGUCGUUCCUGGGUCACAGUCAGAGUUGGGCUGGCUCUGCCACUUCCCUGGCUCCAGGGCCCCCUGAGAGAGGCCCCCUUAUCAUUCUGCCACACAUAUGAACAGUGGUUAUUUACAAGGUCUGUUCCCACAGAGCAGAUCCUAAAGUAUUAAAAAACAGAAACACGCAACAAAAGGUUGGAUGUGAAUAGAAAGAUAGCCCUUCUGCACGGUAGUCAAUAAAUACCAGCACUAGAAAAUCAGUUGCUUUAAUUGCAUUUCAGCAGGGAGCCUCAGCACCGUGUGGGGGAGAUGGGAAGGUCUUAGUUUUGGAAUCUGGCCUGGGGUGGCUGGCCC
Molecule: long non-coding RNA, 1003 nt
Filed under: Rattus norvegicus (Norway rat)
Lineage: Eukaryota; Metazoa; Chordata; Mammalia; Rodentia; Muridae
Description: long non-coding RNA NONRATT014455
Source: RNAcentral